RNAcentral lists this small nuclear RNA (22 nucleotides) under Arabidopsis thaliana (thale cress). RNAcentral's name for it is "snRNA_09555". The record is from RNAcentral. Lineage: Eukaryota; Viridiplantae; Streptophyta; Magnoliopsida; Brassicales; Brassicaceae.
UUUAGGUUAGAAACCCAUACGA